RNAcentral lists this long non-coding RNA (655 nucleotides) under Mytilus galloprovincialis (Mediterranean mussel). Lineage: Eukaryota; Metazoa; Mollusca; Bivalvia; Mytilida; Mytilidae. The record is from RNAcentral.
UACAAACCAGGGCUUCCAAAAAAUAUUUGAGCCAGCCGGACAUUUUAUAUCUGAUCCCGAUUUUAAUCCCUAAGACUAAGUCACAAAAGGCAAUUUAAAUAAAUUAUAGUAAUCAGAUGGCCAUCCCAAUGAUUGACAUUAGAUUAAAAAAAAACGUUAUUAAACUUUACUUUGAUAUGAAUUUGAUGUUCUGACGUAAACUGUUAAAUUGACAGUGCAUCAUUCAAAGUAUGCACAUCAGCGUGCUCAUAUCUGCCUUAGACUCUUUAUUUGUGCAAAAUGAUGUUGUCAAAACUUUACUUUCGUUUUUAAACCGGAUGUUGACAUGACAAUGGUAAAACAUGGACCAUGUAUGGAUACGUGAAAUCCGUGUACGUUUCACAAAGCACGACUGAGUGAAGGAGCUCUUUCCACGUUAUUUUUUCAACAAAAUACUUCAAAUGAACUUUAGAUACAGGGGUUGAAUGAUAAUUUUAGCAUUUUUGAAGAAAUGUAGGAUGCAUAAUUAAACUUCCCACCUGUGCACAUGCGCACAUGUGUUCCAGUUUGUACUAUCAUAGUUCGGAUGAUUUUUUUAAAAUUUUUCAUCAAAUCAUGUUUAUAAACAUAUUUCUUAUAAUUUUAAUCUUUUGGUCUAAAUCAAUUAGAUACAAAC